UACGAAGGGGGCUAGCGUUGCUCGGAUUGACUGGGCGUAAAGGGCGCGUAGGCGGUUCGUACAGUCAGACGUGAAAUCCUGGGCUCAACCUGGGGGCUGCGUUUGAUACGUGCGGACUUGAGUGCGGAAGAGGGUCGUGGAAUUCCCAGUGUAGAGGUGAAAUUCGUAGAUAUUGGGAAGAACACCGGUGGCGAAGGCGGCGACCUGGUCCGAUACUGACGCUGAGGCGCGAAAGCGUGGGGAGCAAACAGG
This 252-nucleotide ribosomal RNA is filed under the name uncultured bacterium. RNAcentral's name for it is "partial 16S ribosomal RNA". It matches the Rfam family "Bacterial small subunit ribosomal RNA", at positions 524 to 776 of the family's 1533-position model. The record is from RNAcentral.